GGGGAUUUAGCUCAGUGGUAGAGCGCUUGCCUAGCAAGCGCAAGGUGCUGGGUUCGGUCCCCAGCUCCA
This is a non-coding RNA of Rattus norvegicus (Norway rat), 69 nucleotides long. The record is from Rfam. NCBI's taxonomy places the organism in Eukaryota, Metazoa, Chordata, Mammalia, Rodentia, Muridae.